AGUGAUUAAGCAUUUGGCUGCCAACCGAAAGGUCGGUGGUUCAAACCCACCAGCCACUG
This 59-nucleotide transfer RNA is filed under the name Loxodonta africana (African savanna elephant). It matches the Rfam family "tRNA". Rfam says of the family: Transfer RNA (tRNA) molecules are approximately 80 nucleotides in length. Their secondary structure includes four short double-helical elements and three loops (D, anti-codon, and T loops). The record is from Rfam by way of RNAcentral. Lineage: Eukaryota; Metazoa; Chordata; Mammalia; Proboscidea; Elephantidae.